GCCUGGUUAGAGAAUAGUGCAUUAUCUCAAUUGACUAUUCACAGUCAGUUACAAAUUGAAUUUCUUGAUCUAUUCUUUCCCCCAUUUUCAUUACAGCAAUUGACUAGUCAACU
This 113-nucleotide Y RNA is filed under the name Carlito syrichta (Philippine tarsier). RNAcentral describes it as "Y RNA (ENSTSYG00000035722.1)". It matches the Rfam family "Y RNA". Rfam says of the family: Y RNAs are components of the Ro ribonucleoprotein particle (Ro RNP), in association with Ro60 and La proteins. Lineage: Eukaryota; Metazoa; Chordata; Mammalia; Primates; Tarsiidae. The record is from RNAcentral.